AACGAACGCUGGCGGCAUGCCUAACACAUGCAAGUCGAACGAAGGCAUCGGCCUUAGUGGCGCCCGGGUGCGUAACGCGUGGGAAUCUUCACAUUGGUUCGGAAUAACAGCUGGAAACGGCUGCUAAUACCGGAUGAUGACGAAAGUCCAAAGAUUUAUCGCCCGAGGAUGAGCCCGCGUUGGAUUAGGUAGUUGGUUGGGUAAAGGCCUACUACGCCGACGAUACAUAGCCGGUCUGAGAGGAUGAUCAGCCACACUGGGACUGAGACACGGCCCAGACUCCUACGGGAGGCAGCAGUGGGGAAUAUUGGACAAUGGGCGCAAGGCUGAUCCAGCAAUGCCGCGUGAGCGAUGAAGGCCCUAGGGUUGUAAAGCUCUUUUACCCGGGAAGAUAAUGACUGUACCGGGAGAAUAAGCCCCGGCUAACUCCGUG
Molecule: ribosomal RNA, 433 nt
Filed under: uncultured bacterium
Lineage: Bacteria
Description: partial 16S ribosomal RNA
Rfam family: Bacterial small subunit ribosomal RNA
Source: RNAcentral